UCAGGGGGAUAGCCUCUCGAAAGAGAGAUUAAGCCCGCAUAAAAUCAGAUUGUGGCAUCACAGACUGAUCAAAUAUUUAUAGGAYAUAGAUGGGCAUGCGGAACAUUAGCUAGUUGGCGGGGUAACGGCUCACCAAGGCUACGAUGUUUAGGGGAUCUGAGAGGAUGACCCCCCACACUGGUACUGAGACACGGACCAGACUCCUACGGGAGGCAGCAGUAAGGAAUAUUGGUCAAUGGACGGAAGUCUGAACCAGCCAUGCCGCGUGCAGGAAGACGGCCCUACGGGUUGUAAACUGCUUUUGUACGGGAAUAAACCCACCUACGUGUAGGUGGCUGAAUGUACCGUAAGAAUAAGGAUCGGCUAACUCCGUGCCAGCAGCCGCGGUAAUACGGAGGAUCCAAGCGUUAUCCGGAUUUAUUGGGUUUAAAGGGUGCGUAGGCGGCCUAUUAAGUCAGGGGUGAAAGACGGUAGCUUAACUAUCGCAGUGCCUUUGAUACUGAUAGGCUUGAAUGUACUUGAGGUAGGCGGAAUGUGACAAGUAGCGGUGAAAUGCAUAGAUAUGUCACAGAACACCAAUUGCGAAGGCAGCUUACUAAAGUAUGAUUGACGCUGAGGCACGAAAGCGUGGGGAUCAAACAGGAUUAGAUACCCUGGUAGUCCACGCCCUAAACGAUGAACCCUCGAUGUU
Molecule: ribosomal RNA, 691 nt
Filed under: bacterium Ellin6562
Lineage: Bacteria
Description: bacterial SSU rRNA
Rfam family: Bacterial small subunit ribosomal RNA
Source: RNAcentral